GAAGUCGAAAGGAGAGGAAACCAC
RNAcentral lists this microRNA (24 nucleotides) under Ananas comosus (pineapple). RNAcentral describes it as "microRNA s0882_c117a". Lineage: Eukaryota; Viridiplantae; Streptophyta; Magnoliopsida; Poales; Bromeliaceae. The record is from RNAcentral.